GUGAGGAAUAUUGGUCAAUGGGCGGGAGCCUGAACCAGCCAAGUCGCGUGAAGGAAGAAGGAUCUAUGGUUCGUAGACUUCUUUUGCAGGGGAAUAAAGUGCAGGACGUGUCCUGUUUUGUAUGUACCCUGAGAAUAAGGAUCGGCUAACUCCGUGCCAGCAGCCGCGGUAAUACGGAGGAUCCGAGCGUUAUCCGGAUUUAUUGGGUUUAAAGGGUGCGUAGGUGGUUUGAUAAGUCAGCGGUGAAAGUUUGCAGCUUAACUGUAAAAAUGCCGUUGAAACUGUCGGACUUGAGUGUAAAUGAGGUAGGCGGAAUGCGUGGUGUAGCGGUGAAAUGCAUAGAUAUCACGCAGAACUCCGAUUGCGAAGGCAGCUUACUAAGCUACAACUGACACUGAAGCACGAAAGCGUGGGGAUCAAACAGGAUUAGAUACCCGGGUAGUCC
This 445-nucleotide ribosomal RNA is filed under the name uncultured bacterium. RNAcentral describes it as "partial 16S ribosomal RNA". It matches the Rfam family "Bacterial small subunit ribosomal RNA", at positions 354 to 796 of the family's 1533-position model. The record is from RNAcentral.